GUCCACAACCAUACCGCCCUGAGUGCACAUGGUCUCAAGCUAAGCAGGGUCAGGCCUUGUUAAUGCUUGGAUUGGAGAUGUACACA
This 86-nucleotide ribosomal RNA is filed under the name Microtus ochrogaster (prairie vole). The record is from RNAcentral. Lineage: Eukaryota; Metazoa; Chordata; Mammalia; Rodentia; Cricetidae.